This 840-nucleotide long non-coding RNA is filed under the name Felis catus (domestic cat). RNAcentral's name for it is "lncRNA (ENSFCAG00000051341.1)". Lineage: Eukaryota; Metazoa; Chordata; Mammalia; Carnivora; Felidae. The record is from RNAcentral.
GUGCAGCUGUUUUCUGGGCUCUGAUCUCUAAAAUUUAUAACUUUACAACCCUAUCUUCAAAAUAAAAAAAGCAGAGAUUGCCACCUCCGCUCGAAAAGUCACCUGCACCCAUCCGUAUGGAGAGAGACGUAUACACCAUCCGUCCAAUGGAGUAUGGAUCUUCAGGGUCCCCCUUUGUCCUCUCCAAAUAGGCUGAGACACAAGACCAGAGGAAGAAAUCCUGAGUGCUCCCUGGACAUGCCGUGGUGUGGUCCUCUGGUUUGUUUCCUGUUUUGGCAUCUGAGCAGAGACGGGAAGGGCCACUUGAGUGCCGAUGAUCGGGCCUCUCCCCUGACUGUGGUGCUUCCCGCACUGAAACAGAGGAACAUGCUCCAAGUGGAUUGGCUUCACAGAGGUGGCUGCCCACAGCUCAGAAGAGAUGCUUCCCCACAGUCUUCAUUUUGCCCAACGGGCUCCAUGGAAAGUAGAUAUCAUUUCUAUUUCAGGUUUUCCUCAUCACCUCUAGACAUUGCCAACAGCAAGAGUUCUAAGUGGGUUGAGCAAGAGAUCUCACACCAUUGCUUCUAGGCAGAAGCUGAAGGAAUGACAGUAGCAUCCCUUUCAACAGUGGGAGGUGUUGGAGGGACUUUCCUGGCUGAGGAAACCACACUCCAUCUACUUACACACCUGAAGGGACUAUGGUGCUGAGCCUCUUCCUCCUCUGUCCCUUGGUCCAUGUGGAUCCCCUGCUUGGAUGCCUUCUGCCUAUUUCUGAAGCUUUCCCCUUCUUCAGAGCACCCCUGGAGUCUCACCUCCUCUAUAAACUUGCCCUGAAACAACAGCCAACAGUGACGCCUUUCA